This 73-nucleotide transfer RNA is filed under the name Cotesia glomerata. RNAcentral describes it as "tRNA-Thr". It matches the Rfam family "tRNA". Rfam says of the family: Transfer RNA (tRNA) molecules are approximately 80 nucleotides in length. Their secondary structure includes four short double-helical elements and three loops (D, anti-codon, and T loops). The record is from RNAcentral. Lineage: Eukaryota; Metazoa; Arthropoda; Insecta; Hymenoptera; Braconidae.
GUUUCUGAUAGCUCAACUGGUAGAGCCUUUGGCACGUAAUUGAAUGAUCCGGGUUCCAAUCCCGGUCUGGACU